This 253-nucleotide ribosomal RNA is filed under the name uncultured bacterium. RNAcentral describes it as "partial 16S ribosomal RNA". It matches the Rfam family "Bacterial small subunit ribosomal RNA", at positions 524 to 776 of the family's 1533-position model. The record is from RNAcentral.
UACGGAGGGUGCAAGCAUUAAUCGGAUUUAUUGGGCGUAAAGGGCGCGUAGGCGGGAAGGAAAGUUAGUUGUGAAAGCCUGAAGCUUAACUUCAGAACUGCAACUAAAACUUCCUUUCUAGAGGAUGAGCGGAGAAAAUGGAAUUCCACAUGUAGCGGUGAAAUGCGUAGAUAUGUGGAGGAACACCGGUGGCGAAGGCGAUUUUCUAGCUUAGACCUGACGCUGAGGCGCGAAAGCAAGGGGAGCAAACAGG